Aegilops tauschii subsp. strangulata is the source of this 4136-nucleotide long non-coding RNA. RefSeq lists it as uncharacterized. The record is from RefSeq and is a predicted model, not a curated record. NCBI's taxonomy places the organism in Eukaryota, Viridiplantae, Streptophyta, Magnoliopsida, Poales, Poaceae.
CCUCUCCCAUAACCCUAACCCUAGCCCUUCUUCUACGCCUCUACCGUCCUUAUCGACGCCACCCCUCCCCUCUACCUCCUCCCCGCCUGCCGGUUGCGCUGCUGCUUUCCCGUCGAGCUCGUGCGUCAGAUUUGGAAGGACGGGUCGCUCCCAUCGUCCAUGUAGUUGCGUCCUCCGCCUGGGAGGCCCUGGACAGAGGGAGCCAUCUCCGUUGCCUCCCCUACUAUCGAUGCCGCUGUCUCCUGCUCCUCCUCUGUCCAUGCGUCCCCAAGAAGCAAGAUUUGGUGCAAUCAAGUCAAAGAUUCUACAUCAGAUGGUUAUGUUUUUCGUUUCUGUUUUUGAUUUGUUCAGUGUGCAUAAAACAUAAAACAAGAUUUCCAGCUAAUAUUGAUAUAUGUUCCUUUACUUAUCCUAUAUGUUGGUUUUAGUUGCUUCUUUUCUGGUUACUAAUCUAGCUAUUACCACAUGUCUGUUUGUUUUGCACUAAUCCUAUGUGUCUAAUCUCGCCAUUGACUGAAUAAGCCCAUGUUUUGGAUUUGUACUAAUAAUUCUGUCUAAGCCACCACCACGGGAUUGAACUCAUGAGGCUGUGAGGAUCUUGCGAUUUACUGUUUUCUUUAAGAGUGAUUCCUUUCUUAGUUUUUCUUUUAACCUUUCUUAUUAUCACUUUUGUUUCAUGGCUGUAGCACAUAAUGGCAAGUGACUGCAAUUCUGAAAGAUAGUACGAGGGGAUUCUUUGUCACCAUCUUAUUAUUGUGGUAUGUAAGCCAAUUCUUGCACUCAAACCAUGAAAAAUUGUUUCUUUCAGUUGUUUGCUUCGGCUCAUGAAGACAUACUAAUUCUUCCUCUAUGUAGAGAGUGAUUAGACUCUGAGAUAAGAUCGUACUCCAUGCCCAUUUUUGGACCAGCUGGGUUUUCUGAACUGUCUACUGUUUUUGAGCCCAUCACAUGUAUGCAUUGCACGGAACAAAAAUGAGGUUGGUAAUGUUUCCGGUACAUUUAUUGAACUUUGGCUAUACAUAUGUGUUCAGCCAGUGAGUAUAAUGGUGAAGUCAUGACAUCUGAACUUUGGUUAUCGGAAUUAUAAUAGAUUUGUUACUGUCCCAUUUCAGUUUUCUUCUAUUAGAAUAAAGCUAUGCCUAAAUUGAGAGUUGUUCACCUUCGCGACAAUGGAUUUAGCUACUUGUUAAAUACUUUACUUUGGUGUAAGCAUACUGAUGAUUAAUGGCCUCUAUCAACUAUAAAGCAGAGGUCUGCAUGGCAUAGUUAUUUUAUUUAUAGUAUUGUAGACAAAAUGCACUAAUUCACUUUAUUACACUAUUUGUUACUUUCUCUUUAUUAUAUCAUCUCUCACACCUUUCUACAUAUUUUUCAGUGGCGUACAUGUUAAAUCUGUCAUGAUCUUACACUGUAUAUUCUUAUUUUAGCGCUAGAGAUGCUGUAUGGAGCUGAUAUUCCUCUCAAACUUCUUUUCUUCAUCAUAUGUAGUCCCAAGAAUCUGGGUUCUAACUCCAUCCUCCUCAGUAGAUGCUUAUUAAUUUCCUUAUGUGAUCGUAACAUGUGUAAAGCUAUUAAGACAACAUUAUUAAUGCACUGUUCUUAAGUACUUCCCUACCAAUAUUAAGCUGGCAGUUUCAUCUUUUCGCUUUACCUUUGGCCUCAUAGGUGUAAACUUGAUCAAUAAAAGCUGUGAGUGUAGUAAUAUAAUUUUAAAUUUGUGAGAUUGUUUUUUACUAGCAAAUGGUAUGUUAUCCUUUCCAGGUAAAUUGCAAUCUGUAUAAAUCAUCAUGUACAAAUAAUAACUAAAGUAUAUACCAGAUUUAACAAUAUUCAUAGGAUCUAGAGAUGAAUUUGUUCUCUUUACGAACUAGUACAUAAAUAUUCCCUAGAAAGGAUAAAUAAAUAUUCCUCAAUCAAUCCAUGUCUUUUGUACCAAAAGAAACCAAAUUACAAUGCCUAUCCAAUGUAAAAUGAAUGUAAGCAUUACGCAAGUGCCUUCGUAAGGCAUUCAAAAAUUAUAUUUGGUCCUUGCACCAAGCUGGUUUGGUUGAAAUUUGUGAGACACAUAUUAUUUUCAGUCAAAAUAUAAUCUGCUGAUAAUCCAAUGGCUUUGUUAGUUUCGAUGCACAUAUCAUUUUUAUUUUCUUUUGUGCAGGCAAAACUUAUCUUGGAUUCUUGGUCUUAAAUGGGCGCUCUUACUUUUGUGUACUUAUUAAUUAUGAUUGCUUUGUGAAUUUUCUUGUCCUUUCGAUUUUUUUUUGUUUUCUCGAUUCCUUUUAGUGAAGUGCAUGGCUUGCACUUUCUGCACCUAAUGAGAAAAGCUUGGUGAAAGUACACAGUGAAUGGAUUUUAGCGCUAACAACUCAGACCCAAUUAUCGAGGAGCUAAGCGGUCCAGCACAGAAAUAACGUUCAGCAACUUUGGAAAAUGAUAUUGAAGAUUAUGAUCGCAAGGUAUUUCAGCAGUAUAUGGAUCAUAAUCUUCAAUAUCAUUUUGCAAAGUUUCUGGAUGUUCUUCCUGUGCUGGACUUGUUGGCUCCUCGAUAAUUGGCUCUGAGUUGUUAGUGUUAAAAUCCUUUUCUUGUGUACUUUCCCCAAGCCACAAAUCAGAUAGUAGAAUUCAGAGUGGGCAUGCUACCACUCACUUCAUCAAAAGGAAUCGGGAAAACAGAAGAAAAUUCAGAAGAACAAGAAUUUCACAAAUCAAUAAGUACACAAAAAUAGGAGUUCCAAGUUAAGACCAAGAAUCCAAGAUAAGUUUUAGCUGCACAAAAGAAAGAAAAAUGAUGUUUAUUGGAACUAAUAAAACCAGCUAAUUAGCAAUAAGUUGUAUUCUAAGUGAAACUAAUGUGUCUCACAAAUCUCAAUCAACAUAAGGCAGUUUGGUGCAAGGGUCGAAUAUAAGUUGCGAAUGUCUUGCUUAAUGCCUACAUUCACUUCUCAUUGGACAAGCAAUGGAAUUUGGUUUGUUUUUGGUAUAGAACACUUGCAUUGAUCAUGGAAAAAUAUUUAGUUACCCUUUUGACGGAAUAUUUAUCUACUAGUAUGUAUUAUAUUAUCUAAAAGAAGAAUAAUUCUUUUGAGCAUCCACAGGUUAGUCAACUGACCUUACAUUCACCAUUGCGUCAUUCAUCGUCCCAAUUCAUUCAUGUAAAAAAUGCACUCCUGUACAAAGGUGUACUAAAUCGAUGACACUUAUUUUGGGAUGGAGGGAGUUCCUACCGAAAAUGUUAACACUAUAUGUACCUCACAUUAGAAACAUAUUACAGAGCUAAAUCGUUGUCAUUUAUUGCCCGUGUAUACCAAGCAUUGCAGGUGAGAUCAAUGCUUCUCUAGGAAAUGAAAGAUUUCUGAAGAUUUUUCAUUAUGGGGGAGAAGAAGACAUUGAUCUGGCAGGGUGUGGUAUUCCUAAUCGUGAAUUUGGACCCUAUGCUUCCGGAAAACUGUUCAGGUCUUAGAGAGAAAAGAGAAGUUAAGUCCAACUCUUCUUGUUUCAGAACAGUUAUUUUGAAUUACUGGUUUGAGAAAGAUGUGAGUCAACUACUGUAUCUUUCAUUGCACGGAGAAGCUGCCGACGUGGUUGGUUACGCCAUCAUGGAUGACGUCAACCUGGAGCAUGGAAUCUCAUAAAUUGAUGUUUUCCAUUUCCAUUUCCAUUCCUUGUUUCCUAGGUAAUCUGGAGCAUGGAAAGGGAUCAGUCUAUCUCUGUUACAAUCAAGUUGUGAUCUCAUCACGGCUCUCUGGAGUCUGGAGUGUUUAUUUCCCAUUUUCAGUGUCUGUUUGGCAGUGAAGUGUGUUUGUUGCAAGCUCCAUCUGCGGUAUGGUGAGGGUGUUGGUUUCUUCAACAGGAUGCAUAUAUACCUGAUUUGGGUGUGCUUGAUUGGAUUGGAUUGGUGUGUAAUUGUCAAGCGGGCACUGGAUUGCUUGCUUGGUUUAUAGCUCCAGCUUGGUGUGGUGUUCACAGUUGAUCAAGCUGGUUCUUAAUAAAAUGGUUGUGUGUGCCGGUUGUGCAUCAACCCAGAUUUGUAAACCCUGCGUGGUGUGAUGAACAAUAUAUAAACUGAGCUUACUUUGUAUUCGGUUGAUGGAACAAGAAAUGUUAUUACUAUCAUGAAUGCUUUGUUAAUUAUAUGGAAA